AAAUUUUAGUUAACUAUAUAUAUAAUUAAAAUUUGAUUUAUUAGUGUUUAAUAGUGUUUCUUAAUAAAAUUCUAGUUAAUUGUAUAUAUAAUUAUAUUUAAUUGGUAUAAUUUGAUUUAAUAGUGUUUCCAAAUAAAAUUCUAUUUUUAACCAUCUAAUAGCUAUAUUUGAGUUUGACAUGUGGUAAGCAUAUAGAAAGAUGCAUAAUUAGCAUUUAAUUUGAUUUAAUUUGAUUUAAUUAUAUAUAUAAUUAUAAUGUAGUAUCCCUUGAGUUCUACAGCGGUGAGAUUUCAGCAUCUGAGGCUUGUCGACAUAUCUGGAGAGUGUCGAGAUGAGUCCGAAUUGUUUUGGUGCGAAAUAGAUGCAAAAGGGACUCAGUGUGACGCGAGAGCAGGAAUUUAGUAUUUAAAAUCUGCAAAUUGCAGGUUUUCUGCAUUGCGUACCGGUAGUACCCAGGGCGUACUGGUACCCCAGCGUAAUCCGCGAAU
RNAcentral lists this long non-coding RNA (488 nucleotides) under Ananas comosus (pineapple). Its description in RNAcentral is "long non-coding RNA (ACOM_LNC038215)". Lineage: Eukaryota; Viridiplantae; Streptophyta; Magnoliopsida; Poales; Bromeliaceae. The record is from RNAcentral.